Triticum urartu is the source of this 405-nucleotide non-coding RNA. The record is from RefSeq and is a predicted model, not a curated record. Lineage: Eukaryota; Viridiplantae; Streptophyta; Magnoliopsida; Poales; Poaceae.
AUUGGAGUGCAUUUUGGUAUCUAUAUGAAGUUGCGAAAGGAGUUUGUGGAGAUUGAGCAAAAAUUGUCAACGGAAAAAACUGAAAACAGAUCAGAGGAUUUGACUGAUCAUUGCAGUCACAUGGUCAAACAAGCCGUGGUUCUAACAAAAGUAGGCCUCUAGUACAAACAAAUGCUUGAAACAAGGCGCUCUGAGCUCCAAAAGGCUGAAGCCAAGGUUGUCAUUUUGGGCGACAAAGUUAAUACGCAUGUGAGCCUUCUCGAAAAGAUAUAUGUAACUCUUGAUCACUACUCUCCUACAUUGCAAAAAUACACAGGGUUGCUGGAUGCUUUCUUGAAGACAUGCAAGCUUGUUGCAGGUUUGAGAAGUCGACAUGAUGAAGACGAAAUAGCAUAGAUGAGUGCA